This 90-nucleotide microRNA precursor is filed under the name Podarcis lilfordi (Lilford's wall lizard). The record is from RNAcentral. Lineage: Eukaryota; Metazoa; Chordata; Lepidosauria; Squamata; Lacertidae.
CAUUGGUAUAUGUCUGUGUGUGUGUGUGUGUGUGUGUGUGUGUGUGUACACAUACACACACAUACAUACACACACACACACAUCUUAAUA